UGAACCCCAAGGGCUCUCGUGUC
This 23-nucleotide non-coding RNA is filed under the name Rattus norvegicus (Norway rat). The record is from RNAcentral. Lineage: Eukaryota; Metazoa; Chordata; Mammalia; Rodentia; Muridae.